ACUGAUGUGGCGUAGUGGUUUGAGUAUUGGAUUAUGACUCUGUAGACUAGGGUUCGAUUCCCAGCUUUGUCA
RNAcentral lists this transfer RNA (72 nucleotides) under Phrynosoma platyrhinos (Desert horned lizard). RNAcentral's name for it is "tRNA-OTHER". The record is from RNAcentral. Lineage: Eukaryota; Metazoa; Chordata; Lepidosauria; Squamata; Phrynosomatidae.